This 497-nucleotide ribosomal RNA is filed under the name uncultured bacterium. RNAcentral describes it as "partial 16S ribosomal RNA". It matches the Rfam family "Bacterial small subunit ribosomal RNA", at positions 28 to 507 of the family's 1533-position model. The record is from RNAcentral.
GAUGAACGCUGGCGGCGUGCCUAAUACAUGCAAGUCGAGCGAACGGACGAGAAGCUUGCUUCUCUGAUGUUAGCGGCGGACGGGUGAGUAACACGUGGAUAACCUACCUAUAAGACUGGGAUAACUUCGGGAAACCGGAGCUAAUACCGGAUAAUAUUUUGAACCGCAUGGUUCAAAAGUGAAAGACGGUCUUGCUGUCACUUAUAGAUGGAUCCGCGCUGCAUUAGCUAGUUGGUAAGGUAACGGCUUACCAAGGCAACGAUGCAUAGCCGACCUGAGAGGGUGAUCGGCCACACUGGAACUGAGACACGGUCCAGACUCCUACGGGAGGCAGCAGUAGGGAAUCUUCCGCAAUGGGCGAAAGCCUGACGGAGCAACGCCGCGUGAGUGAUGAAGGUCUUCGGAUCGUAAAACUCUGUUAUUAGGGAAGAACAUACGUGUAAGUGACUGUGCACAUCUUGACGGUACCUAAUCAGAAAGCCACGGCUAACUACGUG